This 1785-nucleotide long non-coding RNA is filed under the name Theobroma cacao (cacao). Its description in RNAcentral is "long non-coding RNA (TCAC_LNC004600)". The record is from RNAcentral. Lineage: Eukaryota; Viridiplantae; Streptophyta; Magnoliopsida; Malvales; Malvaceae.
AAAUUACUUUUAUAGUGACACGUAGGCCUCCAACUAACCAAUAAGGUGCAAGUCUGUGAACUUACAAUUUUGUCGAUACAAGGCUAACUGAAGUCCUUGAUGCAAUCGGCUAUCUACCGGCUAUCCCAAGCCUGAAAUGUAGGGAAUUUAUGGUGGUGAGAUUAUAAAAUCCCAAUGAGUAAACAAAUACCAUCUAAACUGUCUAAAGUCGAGUAAAUGGAGACAAGUAAGAUAUUCCAUUCUAGUAUGUUUUUCAUAACAUCAAUAAUCAAUUUACUCAAAUAAUCAACUUGGCUUAUUAUUUCACAAAACUUGGCUCCUACCAAUAUCAUUCCUAGGGAUGCCUUGGCCUAGGCAUCUGAUCGAGACCACCAAGGCUGUUCAGUGUAGUACACACAUGAACAUAUUUUUACAUUUGAAAAUCUAGCCAUGCCUUGGCGUUGGCUGAGUCUCACUCUCACGCGAUGGUCCAUGUGAAGUGCACUCAAAUCUUUACCUCUAGAGACACCCUUCACACAGCUCUCCGAUCGAGGUAAGUAUAUCUAAUUUUGUGCCUCCUCUCUUAGGCUGGUCCACAAAACCUCUACUGUAGGAAUUAUGGAUUAUUAUAUCUACCACCUGAUUUAUAAAAUCUUUAUCUGCAUGACAUGGCAAUUUAUCUCAACCUAGCCUCUCAAGGCUGAAUACAUAGUACAAAUAAUUCUAACACCAAAAAUCAGUUUAGCCAUUCAUGCUAAUAUUGUCAUAAGCCAUUCGAUUCAAAUCAUGAAUUUACAACACAUGAAAACAGUCUCUAAUUACUCUAUUUUCAAACCAUCAUUCAAUUUCAAGACAAUUUAUAAAAUCAUUUUAUUUAAACACAUUUUGGUUACAAAAUACAAAGAUUCACCAUUUAACUCAUUUUUCAUAAAAUCACAAAAUCGGAUAAAAACUAUUUUAGAUAAUUAAGAUGAUAGUAAGGUUACUCACAGUAUCAGGAGUAGAAAUACUCUUAGUCUCUGUCUUUGGUGUAAUGUCUUUAUCCUUAUCAAAUAUCUCACCACCUAUACAUCACACAUGACACAAAAUUCAAUAAUUUGUGUCAAUUUGUCAUAAGCUAUUUCAGGCCCUCUAAAUCUAAAUGAAUGCAUGGAAUGCUCGGUCAACCGCUUAAACGCGAUGUUGACCUAAUUCGGCCUAUCACACGAUUAAAUUACUAACGUGUCCAAUUUAAUCCCAAAUUACUCCAUUUCUUUUCUAAUACCUCAAUUCACCAAACAUUAUUCAAAUAACACCAAUUUCAACAUCAAAACCCUCCCAUUUCUUCAUGGAAAAAUUCGGCCAUUACAGUGCACUAACACCGUGAUUUUUCCUACGUAAUUUUCUCACCAUUAUUCAUCAUUUUCUAAGCCAUUUCUAUUAAAAUAAUAACAAUCCAUCACCCACACACAUCAAGGAAGAUUCGGCCAAUGAAGAUUCAUGAGGAAAAUGGAUUCUUUUCUUGUUGUUUUGCAUCUAAAUAUGCUAAACUAACCUUAAUCACUAUCAUAACUUAAAAUCAAACAAUUCAAACAUCAUUUCUCUCACCAUACCCAUUCGGCCUACCACUUAUUCACUAUGAAAUCAUGCUUCUCAACCAUAGAAAUAAAAAAAUAAAGCAUGGGUAUUGUAAAUCUCAAGUAAAAAUAAAGAAUUUUCACUUUACCUUGCUUAAUUCCUUGGAUUUUCACACUUUCUCUUGAAUUUUUCUUGGCUAGGGUUUGUUUUCCUUAUUUUCUUUCUUUCCUCUCUUGUUUUCUUGCUUGG